GUGGUGGUAGUAGCAGUAGUAGUGGUAUGGGUGGUAAUGAUAACAGUUUAGUGAUGGUGGUGGUAGUAGUGGUAUGGGUGGUAAUGAUAACAGUUUAGUGAUGGUGGUGGUGGUAGUAGUGGUAUGGGUGGUAAUGAUAACAGUUUAGUGAUGGUGGUGGUGGUAGUAGUGGUAUGGGUGGUAAUGAUAACAUGAUGGUGGUGGUGGUGGUAGUAGUGGUAUGGGUGGUAAUGGUAAUGAUAACAGUUUAGUGAUGGUGGUGGUGGUAUGGGUGGUAAUGGUAAUGAUAACAGUUUAGUGAUGGUGGUGGUGGUAGUGGUAUGGGUGGUAAUGGUAACAGUUUAGUGGUGGUGGUGGUAGUAGUGGU
Molecule: long non-coding RNA, 367 nt
Organism: Oncorhynchus tshawytscha (Chinook salmon)
Lineage: Eukaryota; Metazoa; Chordata; Actinopteri; Salmoniformes; Salmonidae
Source: Ensembl